RNAcentral lists this ribosomal RNA (429 nucleotides) under Bacteroidota bacterium. Its description in RNAcentral is "Bacteroidetes bacterium partial 16S ribosomal RNA". It matches the Rfam family "Bacterial small subunit ribosomal RNA", at positions 355 to 776 of the family's 1533-position model. The record is from RNAcentral. Lineage: Bacteria; Pseudomonadati; Bacteroidota.
UAGGGAAUCUUCGGCAAUGGGGGGAACCCUGACCGAGCAACGCCGCGUGAGUGAAGAAGGUUUUCGGAUCGUAAAGCUCUGUUGUUAAGGAAGAACGAGUGUGAGAAUGGAAAGUUCAUACUGUGACGGUACUUAACCAGAAAGGGACGGCUAACUACGUGCCAGCAGCCGCGGUAAUACGUAGGUCCCGAGCGUUGUCCGGAUUUAUUGGGCGUAAAGCGAGCGCAGGCGGUUAGAAAAGUCUGAAGUGAAAGGCAGUGGCUCAACCAUUGUAGGCUUUGGAAACUGUUUAGCUUGAGUGCAGAAGGGGGGAGUGGAAUUCCAUGUGUAGCGGUGAAAUGCGUAGAUAUAUGGAGGAACACCGGUGGCGAAAGCGGCUCUCUGGUCUGUAACUGACGCUGAGGCUCGAAAGCGUGGGGAGCGAACAGG